UCCUUGGCAGUCCAGUGAUUAGGACUCUGUGCUUUCACUGCUGAGGGCCUGGGUUCAAUCCCUGGUUGGGGAA
This 73-nucleotide transfer RNA is filed under the name Bos taurus (domestic cattle). It matches the Rfam family "tRNA". From Rfam's summary of the family: Transfer RNA (tRNA) molecules are approximately 80 nucleotides in length. The record is from Rfam by way of RNAcentral. Lineage: Eukaryota; Metazoa; Chordata; Mammalia; Artiodactyla; Bovidae. RNAcentral also lists the same sequence under 3 other names.